Nematostella vectensis (starlet sea anemone) is the source of this 1262-nucleotide long non-coding RNA. RefSeq lists it as uncharacterized. NCBI's taxonomy places the organism in Eukaryota, Metazoa, Cnidaria, Anthozoa, Actiniaria, Edwardsiidae. The record is from RefSeq and is a predicted model, not a curated record. The transcript is spliced from 2 exons.
CACACAUAAACUAAUAUAAAGAAAGCAGAGAUGCGCGAUAAAUAAGUCGAGUCUACGAAACGGGAAGUUGAGUUGAAAUAGGGACUCCCCAAAAUAUGCCCAGGGGGGGGGGGGGGGGGGGGGGGGGAUGCAGGGUGUGCGCCCACAGCGGCCGAGGGUCCACUUUUGGUUCCCAAUUGACGUGCUAUUUGUAGACAAAACUAUAAAGCAUAAGCUAGAUAACCCUGGUACGUAGCCAAAUCCGACAAUAAAAGUCCCGUGAAGAUACUGCAAAGGCAUAAAAAAAUCCCUCUUUGUUCUUUCGGGGGUAGUCAGAUUUCUAUUAGAGAACUCAUUUCACUCGUCGUCGCCUUACUCGUCCCCUCUCAGAACAGCCGAAUUCCGAGCUACGGACAAGCAACCAUUGCCUGGGCUACCUGUGAUUACAUUUGCGUUUCAAGAGUCACCUACGCGCGCGCUUAACAAAUACUCCGGUCGUUAAAUCAUGAUUCACUUACCAGCUCUAGCAAGAAGAAGUUCAAACUCAGUUUAAAGUUUAAGAACGCACUUUGAAUUGCUCGAGCAAUCGACACUAGGGCCACAAGGACCACCCACGCAAACAGCGUAAUCACAGGUAGUCAUGAUCAAGAAAAAUAUCAAGCAUCAUCUGAAUUACAAUUUUAUGCUUGCAGAUUUUAUAAGAAGCAGCCUCAUGUGAUCUCUUUGUGUUGCCCUAAAGCCUUUUGUGGCUAACGGAGGUGUUACUGUAACAGGAUGCCGCUUUGAGGGAGUGUGACAAUUCUUUUAGCUUAUGCCCUUAUGUCAACGAAGCAUGUUUCCUUGUGGUAUUUGUGUUUUAUUCUUCGAUUGGUGUUUCCUACGGUAUCUUUUUAAAAUAAUUUUGGCAUCAUUAAUAUGUUUUUUUAUAGAAUGAAGAACAUAAAAUAAGAAACAAUCUAGAAUAAAAACUGCAAGCCGACUAGUUGAACUAUUCUUUAUAUCGGGUUUCCUUUGCAAAUUCAUGCAUUCUCAUCUGGUAGACCGCUGAUCAGUUGUCAUCUGAAACCAGACUCGUGUUGUAGUACUUGACCUUUGCAUUGAAAUUAAUCUUACAAAUCGGCUUUUUCCCUAGAAACCUCUUGGCAGAAGUAACUUCCAAGGAUGAACCAAGACAAUUAUACUGCAUCUGAGAUUAGUAUACAGCAAGGGUAGAGUUUAUUUUCUGUGAUUUUUCUCCUGUACAAACAGGUAUGUGUAUCUAAUAAAGACGGCUGUCAAGAAAA